This 387-nucleotide ribosomal RNA is filed under the name marine copepod environmental sample. RNAcentral describes it as "SSU rRNA". It matches the Rfam family "Eukaryotic small subunit ribosomal RNA", at positions 587 to 972 of the family's 1831-position model. The record is from RNAcentral. Lineage: Eukaryota; Metazoa; Arthropoda; Copepoda.
AGCUCCAAUAGCGUAUAUUAAAGUUGUUGUGGUUAAAAAGCUCGUAGUUGGAUCUCGGCGGCCAGGGGCCGGUCUGAAUGCUUUCAUGACUGGUCCUCUUUGGCCGUGUUGAAUUGCCAGAGGUCGGCGGGUGCUCUUCACCGAGUGUCCGCCGGCGCUGGCAGGUUUACUUUGAAAAAAUUAGAGUGCUCAAAGCAAGCUCCACCGCUUGAAUAUUCGUGCAUGGAAUAAUAGAAUAGGAAGUCGUUUCUAUUUUGUUGGUUUUCGGAAAUCGACUUAAUGAUUAAUAGGGACAGUCGGGGGCAUUUGUAUUCAAGCGACAGAGGUGAAAUUCUUGGACCGUUUGAAGACAAACUACUGCGAAAGCAUUUGCCAAGAAUGUUUUCA